GGAAAACUUACCAGGUCCAGACAUAGUAAGGAUUGACAGAUUGAAGAUCUUUCUUGAUUCUAUGGGUGGUGGUGCAUGGCUGUUCUUAGUUGGUGGAGUGAUUUGUCUGGUUAAUUCCGUUAACGAACGAGACCUCAGCCUGCUAACUAGUCGUGCUUAUCCUUUGUCGCUGAUGUCGAUUCUUUUGAGUUGCUCGGACGUGGCAGAUUCAGGAUAGGCGGAGGUUUUCUCCUUCACAGCCUUCCCGGUUCGUAUUGGAGUGUCUCGUGCAACUUCUUAGAGGGACUAUCCGUGCGUAGCGGAUGGAAGUUUGAGGCAAUAA
Molecule: ribosomal RNA, 322 nt
Filed under: uncultured eukaryote
Lineage: Eukaryota
Description: partial 18S ribosomal RNA
Rfam family: Eukaryotic small subunit ribosomal RNA
Source: RNAcentral